This 140-nucleotide unclassified non-coding RNA is filed under the name uncultured fungus. RNAcentral's name for it is "sequence contains ITS2". Lineage: Eukaryota; Fungi. RNAcentral also lists the same sequence under 1 other name. The record is from RNAcentral.
CACCACUCAAGCCUGGCUUGGUAUUGGGCGUCGCGAGUCCGCGCGCCUCAAAGUCUCCGGCUGAGCUGUCCGUCUCCCAGCGUUGUGAAUCUCAUUCGCUACGGAGUCUCGGGCAGCCGCGGCCGUUAAACUUAUCUAAA